UGGGGAAUAUUGGACAAUGGGCGGAAGCCUGAUCCAGCCAUGCCGCGUGUGAAGAAGGCCUUUUGGUUGUAAAGCACUUUAUGCGAGGAGGAGGCUACUUGGAUUAAUACUCUAGGAUAGUGGACGUUACUCGCAGAAUAAGCACCGGCUAACUCUGUGCCAGCAGCCGCGGUAAUACAGAGGGUGCGAGCGUUAAUCGGAUUUACUGGGCGUAAAGCGUGCGUAGGCGGCUUCUUAAGUCGGAUGUGAAAUCCCUGAGCUUAACUUAGGAAUUGCAUUCGAUACUGGGAAGCUAGAGUAUGGGAGAGGAUGGUAGAAUUCCAGGUGUAGCGGUGAAAUGCGUAGAGAUCUGGAGGAAUACCGAUGGCGAAGGCAGCCAUCUGGCCUAAUACUGACGCUGAGGUACGAAAGCAUGGGGAGCAAACAGG
RNAcentral lists this ribosomal RNA (428 nucleotides) under Acidobacteriota bacterium. Its description in RNAcentral is "Acidobacteria bacterium partial 16S ribosomal RNA". It matches the Rfam family "Bacterial small subunit ribosomal RNA", at positions 355 to 776 of the family's 1533-position model. The record is from RNAcentral. Lineage: Bacteria; Pseudomonadati; Acidobacteriota.